This 267-nucleotide ribosomal RNA is filed under the name uncultured Glomeromycotina. RNAcentral's name for it is "partial large subunit ribosomal RNA". Lineage: Eukaryota; Fungi; Glomeromycota. The record is from RNAcentral.
CAGUCGUACCGGUCGGGAAUUCAACUUCUUAAGUGCUUGUCGGUGGGUGAUGUUGAGCUUCGCGGCCUUCGUUGUCUUUGCGUUAUGGUUACUUUUGUUGUGCUACUUUUCCGUAUGGUAGGUCAAUAUCGUAUUUUGAUCGUCAAUAAAAUGAUCGGAGGAAUGUGGCUUCGAUCUCGUAUCGGAGUGUUAUAGUCCUUUGGUAGAUGUGACGAUUGGGAUCGAGGAUUGCAACGAAUACCCUUUGGGCUAUCUGUCUGACCUCUG